RNAcentral lists this ribosomal RNA (482 nucleotides) under uncultured bacterium. RNAcentral describes it as "partial 16S ribosomal RNA". It matches the Rfam family "Bacterial small subunit ribosomal RNA", at positions 30 to 507 of the family's 1533-position model. The record is from RNAcentral.
AUUGAACGCUGGCGGCAUGCCUUACACAUGCAAGUCGAACGGUAACGGGCCUUCGGGUGCCGACGAGUGGCGAACGGGUGAGUAAUACAUCGGAACGUGCCCGAUCGUGGGGGAUAACGAGGCGAAAGCUUUGCUAAUACCGCAUACGAUCUACGCAUGAAAGCAGGGGACCGCAAGGCCUUGCGCGGACGGAGCGGCCGAUGGCAGAUUAGGUAGUGGGUGGGAUAAAAGCUUACCAAGCCGACGAUCUGUAGCUGGUCUGAGAGGAUGAUCAGCCACACUGGGACGGAGACACGGCCCAGACUCCUACGGGAGGCAGCAGUGGGGAAUUUUGGACAAUGGGCGCAAGCCUGAUCCAGCAAUGCCGCGUGCAGGAUGAAGGCCUUCGGGUUGUAAACUGCUUUUGUACGGAACGAAAAGCCUUCUUUUAAUACAGGAGGGUCAUGACGGUACCGUAAGAAUAAGCACCGGCUAACUACGUG